This 254-nucleotide ribosomal RNA is filed under the name uncultured bacterium. RNAcentral's name for it is "partial 16S ribosomal RNA". It matches the Rfam family "Bacterial small subunit ribosomal RNA", at positions 524 to 776 of the family's 1533-position model. The record is from RNAcentral.
UACGUAGGGGGCAAGCGUUGUCCGGAUUUAUUGGGCGUAAAGAGCUCGUAGGCGGUUCGACAAGUCGGAUGUGAAAUCUCCACGCUCAACGUGGAGGGGCCAUUCGAAACUGUCGUGACUUGAGUCCGGUAGGGGAGUGUGGAAUUCCCGGUGUAGCGGUGAAAUGCGUAGAUAUCGUAAGGAAGACCAGUGGCGAAGGCGGGUCUCUGGACAGUUCCUGACGCUGAGGCACGAAGGCCAGGGGAGCAAACGGG